Pelobates cultripes (western spadefoot toad) is the source of this 438-nucleotide non-coding RNA. The record is from the annotation of a GenBank genome assembly. NCBI's taxonomy places the organism in Eukaryota, Metazoa, Chordata, Amphibia, Anura, Pelobatidae.
CUUUAGACGGUCUAGGAUAUUAUAUAGUUCAAGUCGGGCAUAGGCUGUGGUAAAGCAAGCAAUAAAAAUAUUAGUGUUACGAGCCAUGCCUUCCAAACCUUUUGCAUUUUUCCAGCUAAGCAUGGCGGUGGAGUCAUCUAUGAAAUCUAAAGAUGAUACUUCAUAUUGUGGUAAAAAUACAUAGCCAAAAAGUUCAUCAGGGUCAGACACCAGACUAGUGGUUUGCAAAUUAGGUUUCUGUCCAAAUUUACCCCAUAAAGAAUUUAGAAAUAAUUUUGCAAUUUGUCUUUUUGCAGGGUUUACCUCUAUCCUUUCAGGUCUUAACACAACCCCCUCUUUGACAUAAUAGUCAUGAACAUACUUGUUUUUGUUUUCAGCGGUGGUACACCAAUUAGGAUAAUCUGAUGCCUCCUGCCUCCUGCUGUAGGUUUACCAUUG